Amphimedon queenslandica is the source of this 303-nucleotide long non-coding RNA. RefSeq lists it as uncharacterized. The transcript has 2 exons. Lineage: Eukaryota; Metazoa; Porifera; Demospongiae; Haplosclerida; Niphatidae. The record is from RefSeq and is a predicted model, not a curated record.
CGUCACAUGAUUAAAGUACAUGAUGAUGUAUCUGAUAAUAGUUCUAUUGAUUCGUUGCUGUCUCCAUCAUCUCCUGUUAAUAAUAAACAAUGGACUAACAAGAAGAAUAAAUCACUCAUUAAUUAUAUUAAUAGAGAAGCUGGUCAUUCUCAGGAUUCUGGUGUACUGGUUGAACUGUGCGGACAUAUUUAAAUAUUUUUAUCAUCUCUUUUAUAAACAUUUUUAUUAAAAAUUAUAUUAUUAUUAUUAAUGUGCUUUUUUGUCAUUUUUUUCUUUUUUUUAUCUGCUCCUUUUUGAGAGAAA